GCAGCCGUACAAAAUGACGACA
RNAcentral lists this non-coding RNA (22 nucleotides) under Arabidopsis thaliana (thale cress). Lineage: Eukaryota; Viridiplantae; Streptophyta; Magnoliopsida; Brassicales; Brassicaceae. The record is from RNAcentral.